Molecule: unclassified non-coding RNA, 1558 nt
Filed under: uncultured fungus
Lineage: Eukaryota; Fungi
Description: sequence contains 18S rRNA gene, ITS1, 5.8S rRNA gene, ITS2, 28S rRNA gene
Rfam family: Eukaryotic large subunit ribosomal RNA (bases 608-1558)
Source: RNAcentral
GGAAGGAUCAUUGUCGUGACCCUGACCAAAACAGACCGUGAACGCGUUAUCUUGCCUGCCAGCGGCGGCUAUGCCGUCGCUUGGCCAAACUCCUCGAGAAAUCCCAGCUCCUUGGAGCAGGGGCUCGGGGUAAAAGAACCCACGGCGCCGAAGGCGUCAAGGAACACUGUGCCUAACUCGGGAAGCGGUUGGCUUGCUAGCCGCCCCUCGUGUUGCAAUGCUAUUUAAUCCACACGACUCUCGGCAACGGAUAUCUCGGCUCUCGCAUCGAUGAAGAACGUAGCGAAAUGCGAUACCUGGUGUGAAUUGCAGAAUCCCGCGAACCAUCGAGUCUUUGAACGCAAGUUGCGCCCGAGGCCUCUUGGCCAAGGGCACGCCUGCCUGGGCGUCACGCCAAACACGCUCCCACCCCUCAUCGGGUUGUGGGAUGCGGCAUGUGGCCCCCCGCCUCGUAAGAGUCGGUGGGCCAAAGAUGUGGCUGCCGGCGUAUCGUUCCGGACACAGCGCGUGGUGGGCGAACUCGCUUUACUUAUCGCAGUGCGUCCGGACCGUAGCCGACGUGAUGGCCUUAAGGACCCUAUGAACGGGGCGCAUGACGCUCCGACCGCGACCCCAGGUCAGGCGGGACUACCCGCUGAAUUUAAGCAUAUAAAUAAGCGGAGGAGAAGAAACUUACAAGGAUUCCCCUAGUAACGGCGAGCGAACCGGGAUCAGCCCAGCUUGAGAAUCGGGCGGCCGUGCCGUCCGAAUUGUAGUCUGGAGAGGCGUCCUCAGCGACGGACCGAGCCCAAGUCCCCUGGAAAGGGGCGCCUGGGAGGGUGAGAGCCCCGUCCGGCCCGGACCCUGUCGCAUCACGAGGCGCCGUCAACGAGUCGGGUUGUUUGGGAAUGCAGCCCAAAUCGGGCGGUAGACUCCGUCCAAGGCUAAAUACAGGCGAGAGACCGAUAGCGAACAAGUACCGCGAGGGAAAGAUGAAAAGGACUUUGAAAAGAGAGUCAAAGAGUGCUUGAAAUUGCCGGGAGGGAAGCGGAUGGGGGCCGGCGAUGCGCCCUGGCCGUAUGCGGAACGGCUCUUGCUGGUCCGCCGCUCGGCUCGGGGCGUGGACUGUUGUCGGCUGCGCCGGCGGCCAAAGCCCGGGGGCCUUAGGUGCCCCCGGUGGCCGUCGUCGGCACGGCCGGUAUCCGCGCGCCGAAAGGCGUGUCCCUCGGGGCACUGCGCUGCAACGGCCUGUGGGCUCCCCAUCCGACCCGUCUUGAAACACGGACCAAGGAGUCUGACAUGCGUGCGAGUCGACGGGUUCUGAAACCUGGGAUGCGCAAGGAAGCUGACGAGCGGGAGGCCCUCACGGGCCGCACCGCUGGCCGACCCUGAUCUUCUGUGAAGGGUUCGAGUUGGAGCACGCCUGUCGGGACCCGAAAGAUGGUGAACUAUGCCUGAGCGGGGCGAAGCCAGAGGAAACUCUGGUGGAGGCUCGAAGCGAUACUGACGUGCAAAUCGUUCGUCUGACUUGGGUAUAGGGGCGAAAGACUAAUCGAACCAUCUAGUAGCUGGUUCCCUC